This 450-nucleotide ribosomal RNA is filed under the name uncultured bacterium. Its description in RNAcentral is "partial 16S ribosomal RNA". It matches the Rfam family "Bacterial small subunit ribosomal RNA", at positions 354 to 796 of the family's 1533-position model. The record is from RNAcentral.
GUGGGGAAUAUUGGACAAUGGGCGAAAGCCUGAUCCAGCCAUGCCGCGUGUGUGAAGAAGGUCUUCGGAUUGUAAAGCACUUUAAGUUGGGAGGAAGGGCAGUAAGUUAAUACCUUGCUGUUUUGACGUUACCGACAGAAUAAGCACCGGCUAACUUCGUGCCAGCAGCCGCGGUAAUACGAAGGGUGCAAGCGUUAAUCGGAAUUACUGGGCGUAAAGCGCGCGUAGGUGGUUUUGUAAGUUGGAGGUGAAAUCCCCGGGCUCAACCUGGGAACUGCCUCAAAAACUGCAUGACUAGAGUACGGUAGAGGGUAGUGGAAGUUCCUGUGUAGCGGUGAAAUGCGUAGAUAUAGGAAGGAACACCAGUGGCGAAGGCGACUACCUGGACUGAUACUGACACUGAGGUGCGAAAGCGUGGGGAGCAAACAGGAUUAGAAACCCGGGUAGUCC